GACGAACGCUGGCGGCGUGCCUAAUACAUGCAAGUUGAGCGAUGAAGCUUGGUGCUUGCACCAAUUUGAAGAGCAGCGAACGGGUGAGUAACGCGUGGGGAAUCUGCCUUUGAGCGGGGGACAACAUUUGGAAACGAAUGCUAAUACCGCAUAACAACUUUAAACAUAAGUUUUAAGUUUGAAAGAUGCAAUUGCAUCACUCAAAGAUGAUCCCGCGUUGUAUUAGCUAGUUGGUGAGGUAAAGGCUCACCAAGGCGAUGAUACAUAGCCGACCUGAGAGGGUGAUCGGCCACAUUGGGACUGAGACACGGCCCAAACUGCUACGGGAGGCAGCAGUAGGGAAACGUCGGCAAGGGACGAAAGUCUGACCGAGCAACGCCGCGUGAGGGAAGAAGGUUUUCGGAUCGUAAAACUCUGUUGGUAGAGAAGAACGUUGGUGAGAGUGGAAAGCUCAUCAAGUGACGGUAACUACCCAGAAAGGGACGGCUAACUACGUG
RNAcentral lists this ribosomal RNA (497 nucleotides) under uncultured bacterium. Its description in RNAcentral is "partial 16S ribosomal RNA". It matches the Rfam family "Bacterial small subunit ribosomal RNA", at positions 28 to 507 of the family's 1533-position model. The record is from RNAcentral.